RNAcentral lists this ribosomal RNA (347 nucleotides) under uncultured bacterium. RNAcentral describes it as "partial 16S ribosomal RNA". It matches the Rfam family "Bacterial small subunit ribosomal RNA", at positions 338 to 682 of the family's 1533-position model. The record is from RNAcentral.
CCUACGGGUGGCAGCAGUGAGGAAUAUUGGUCAAUGGACGAGAGUCUGAACCAGCCAAGUAGCGUGAAGGAUGACUGCCCUAUGGGUUGUAAACUUCUGUUAUAGGGGAAUAAAAUGUUCCACGUGUGGGAGUUUGUAUGUACCAUAUGAAUAAGGAUCGGCUAACUCCGUGCCAGCAGCCGCGGUAAUACGGAGGAUCCGAGCGUUAGCCGGAUUUAUUGGGUUUAAAGGGGGCGUAGGGGGAUUGUUAAGUCAGUUGUGAAAGUUUGCGGCUCAACCGUAAAAUGGCAGUUGAAAGUGGCAGUCUUGAGUACAGUAGAGUUGGGCGGCCUUCGUGGUGUAGCGGU